AUGCUUAACACAUGCAAGUCGAACGGUAACAGAUAAGAUGAUCUCUUCGGAGUGAAUCUUUGCUGACGAGUGGCGGACGGGUGAGUAAUGCUUGGGAAUCUGCCCAAUAGUGGGGGAAAACUCGGGGAAACCCGGGCUAAUACCGCAUAAUCUCUACGGAGGAAAGAGGGCCUCUACAUGUAAGCUCUCGCUAAUGGAUGAGCCCAAGUCAGAUUAGCUAGUUGGUAAGGUAAUGGCUUACCAAGGCUACGAUCUGUAGCUGGUCUGAGAGGAUGAUCAGCCACACUGGGACUGAGACACGGCCCAGACUCCUACGGGAGGCAGCAGUGGGGAAUAUUGCACAAUGGGCGCAAGCCUGAUGCAGCAAUGCCGCGUGUGUGAAGAAGGCUCUAGGGUUGUAAAGCACUUUCAAUAGAGAAGAAAAGCUUGAAAUUAAUACUUUCAAGCCUUGACGUAAUCUAUACAAGAAGCACCGGCUAAUUCCGUGCCAGCAGCCGCGGUAAUACGGGAGGUGCGAGCGUUAAUCGGAAUUACUGGGCGUAAAGCGAGCGUAGGCUGUUAAUUAAGUCGAAUGUGAAAUCCCCGGGCUCAACCUGGGAACUGCAUUCGAAACUAUUUAACUAGAGUAUGGGAGAGGAAAGUAGAAUUUCCGGUGUAGCGGUGAAAUGCGUAGAUAUCGGAAGGAACACCAGUGG
This 695-nucleotide ribosomal RNA is filed under the name uncultured bacterium. RNAcentral's name for it is "bacterial SSU rRNA". It matches the Rfam family "Bacterial small subunit ribosomal RNA", at positions 44 to 715 of the family's 1533-position model. The record is from RNAcentral.